UACGAAGGGGGCUAGCGUUGCUCGGAAUCACUGGGCGUAAAGGGUGCGUAGGCGGGUCUUUAAGUCAGGGGUGAAAUCCUGGGGCUCAACUCCAGAACUGCCUUUGAUACUGAGGAUCUUGAGUUCGGGAGAGGUGAGUGGAACUGCGAGUGUAGAGGUGAAAUUCGUAGAUAUUGGGAAGAACACCGGUGGCGAAGGCGGCUCACUGGCCCGUAACUGACGCUCAUGCACGACAGCGUGGGGAUCAAACAGG
This 253-nucleotide ribosomal RNA is filed under the name uncultured bacterium. RNAcentral describes it as "partial 16S ribosomal RNA". It matches the Rfam family "Bacterial small subunit ribosomal RNA", at positions 524 to 776 of the family's 1533-position model. The record is from RNAcentral.